CUAGGCAGGCAGGUGGGACUGGGGCUGGCAGGGAACAUGGAAAAAUAGAGAUGCUCUUGGCAGAAAAUGGGAUAGUGACUGGAGGAGGGAGGUCUUGCAGGGCUGGAGGAAAACAUGGGAGGGUGUUGUGCAACAGGGACACAUCAGGGCAGUUUGUCUCACUCUAAUAUUUCCUAAUUCUGCAGCUUGAGUCAUGGCCCUUCGCCGGGUGCUGCCUCUCCAGCACGCAGUCCUUGCAGAGGUCUGCAGAAAUGCUUGUGCCACGUUUGGGAGAUCAGCAGAUGGUUCCUCUAAAGACAGCCUGAAAUGUGACUGUUGCUAAAAUCAGUUUUUACAGUAACCGCAAGCACUUUGUGAAGAAAGGAGGGUUCCUCCUGCAAGCUCAGGCUCAAAAGUCACUUUAAAUUAAUAACUUCUCUAGCGUCUGCACUUGGGCCUGGCUGGAGAGCCUGGAGUCUGCCUCGUGACAAGUGUCAUGACGCUGGUUUGUUUUUGUUCAUUUCUGGAGUGUUUUGCUCAGAAGGAAGGAGCCAGGCAGCCAGCAGAGCAGUCCCCUGGGUAGGAUCUGGGAUGGGGGACUCCAGUGUUCCUGUUUCCACUCUGAUGGGCUUGGAGCAGGAAUUUGGAGAGCCCUGAGAGACCAGACAUCAGCAGCGUGUCUCUGGACAAGAGGCUGUUGAAGAAGAUGCUGUCUCUUUGGUGUUUAUUCCUGUCUGCUCAUCCGGGGCCCCGUCACUGAUGGAUGCGAGUGCUCUUGGUUCCCUUCUGCAGCAGAGUGUUCAGGGUUUUUUCCUCUAUAGAUCUUUCUGCAGUGUUUUGCAACUGCACCAGUCAUUCCUAACGAGCCAAACUUCAGCCUGCUCCUUAAAAUACCCCUGUGAGGCCCAAAAGGGGCAUUAUCCCAGCUUUGCAGCCAGGGAAACCAAAGCCUGAAGAGGAUAAGAGCUUCAUUUUAGAGGUGCCAGGCCGUCGCCCACUGUGAGCCAUGUGGGAGACCACAGGCGUUUGGAGAACUGGAGCUCCUGUCUCAUUCAAGUGUUGUUCACCAGGAAAAUGCUCAUCUUGGAGAAGCACUGAGGGAGUUUGAUAGAAGGGUCUGUGUCUGGGACUGGCACGGGCUGGGUGGGUUGCUGCUGUCUCGCCUCCCCAGUGGUACAGAGCAAAGGCGAGAGGGAUGCUUGGAGGCUCCCAGCCCACGGGGAUGGGAAGGAGGUGGGUGUUUUAGGAGGGAGCACCGGUUGUUUGACAGAGCUGAGACCACACAAUGGCUGGUGGCUUCACGUGUGUCUCUGGAGAAGAGGGGGGUGAUGAGAUACAUACCAUUUGCAUGCCUGCGCUCUGGCUUGAUGUGGUCUUGCCGAGCGAAUCAAAGCUUUUGCUUUGAAGGCAGCAGAGGGGGAAGGGGCUGUCUUUGUUCUGCUCUUUGGAGAGCGCUGGAAAUCCUUCAGCCCAGAAGACUACACCCUUCAUUACCCUCUGAGUUAUUGGCCCCAGAUUGGAAGUAUGGCUCUGUCAUGUGAAGUAUUUGAUUAUUUAUACAGUUAAUGUGUAACAGAGUUGGAGUAUUAGAAUUCAACAGGGACGAGCUUCCAACUUUGCAUGGUUCAGGACUAAUAAAACUUCUCUGACCCA
Pezoporus occidentalis (night parrot) is the source of this 1632-nucleotide long non-coding RNA. RefSeq lists it as uncharacterized. The transcript is spliced from 2 exons. Lineage: Eukaryota; Metazoa; Chordata; Aves; Psittaciformes; Psittacidae. The record is from RefSeq and is a predicted model, not a curated record.